This 452-nucleotide ribosomal RNA is filed under the name uncultured bacterium. RNAcentral's name for it is "bacterial SSU rRNA". It matches the Rfam family "Bacterial small subunit ribosomal RNA", at positions 28 to 488 of the family's 1533-position model. The record is from RNAcentral.
GAUGAACGCUGGCGGCGUGCUUAACACAUGCAAGUCGAACGGGAUCCCAGGAGCUUGCUCCUGGGUGAGAGUGGCGAACGGGUGAGUAAUGCGUGACCGACCUGCCCCAUACACCGGAAUAGCUCCUGGAAACGGGUGGUAAUGCCGGAUGCUCCAGUUGACCGCAUGGUCCUCUGGGAAAGCUUUUGCGGUAUGGGAUGGGGUCGCGUCCUAUCAGCUUGAUGGCGGGGUAACGGCCCACCAUGGCUUCGACGGGUAGCCGGCCUGAGAGGGCGACCGGCCACAUUGGGACUGAGAUACGGCCCAGACUCCUACGGGAGGCAGCAGUGGGGAAUAUUGCACAAUGGGCGCAAGCCUGAUGCAGCGACGCCGCGUGCGGGAUGACGGCCUUCGGGUUGUAAACCGCUUUUGACUGGGAGCAAGCCCUUCGGGGUGAGUGUACCUUUCGAAUA